GAUGAAGAACGCAGCGAAAUGCAAUAAGUAAUGUGAAUUGCAGAAUUCAGUGAAUCAUCGAAUCUUUGAACGCACAUUGCGCCCGCCAGUAUUCUGGCGGGCAUGCCUGUUCGAGCGUCAUUACAACCCUCAGGCCCCCGGGCCUGGCGUUGGGGAUCGGCGGAAGCCCCCUGUGGGCACACGCCGUCCCUCAAAUACAGUGGCGGUCCCGCCGCAGCUUCCAUUGCGUAGUAGCUAACACCUCGCAACUGGAGAGCGGCGCGGCCAUGCCGUAAAACACCCAACUUCUGAAUGUUGACCUCGAAUCAGGUAGGAAUACCCGCUGAACUUAAGCAUAUCAAUAAGCGGAGGA
RNAcentral lists this unclassified non-coding RNA (352 nucleotides) under soil metagenome. RNAcentral describes it as "partial contains 5.8S ribosomal RNA, internal transcribed spacer 2, and large subunit ribosomal RNA". The stretch from base 1 to 120 matches the Rfam family "5.8S ribosomal RNA", at positions 35 to 154 of the family's 154-position model. The record is from RNAcentral.